Molecule: long non-coding RNA, 1470 nt
Filed under: Equus caballus (horse)
Lineage: Eukaryota; Metazoa; Chordata; Mammalia; Perissodactyla; Equidae
Description: lncRNA (ENSECAG00000053664.1)
Source: RNAcentral
UGUCGAAUGCUUUCUCUGCAUCUAUUGAGAUGAUCAUGUGGUUUUUGUUUUUCAUUUUGUUGAUGUAGUGUAUCACGUUGAUUGACUUGCGGAUGUUAAACCAUCCCUGUGUCCCUGGUAUAAAUCCCACUUGAUCAUGGUGUAUAAUCUUUUUGAUGUAUUGCUGUAAUCGGUUUGCCAAAAUUUUGUUGAGGAUUUUUGCAUCUAUGUUCAUCAGUGAUAUCGGCCUGUAGUUCUCCUUCUUUAUGUUGUCCUUGUCAGGUUUGGGGAUCAGAGUGAUGUUGGCUUCAUAGAAUGUGUUAGGGAGUUCUCCAUCUUUCUCAAUUUUCUGGAACAGUUUGAGGAGAAUAGGUAUUAAGUCUUCUUUGAAUGUUUGGUAGAAUUCUCCAGAGAAGCCGUCUGGUCCUGGACUCUUGUUUUUGGGGAGGUUUUUGAUUACCGUUUCUAUUUCCUUACUUGUGAUUGGUCUAUUCAGAUUCUCCAUUUCUUCCUGAUUCAGUUUGGGGAGAUUGUAGGAGUCUAGGAAUUUGUCCAUUUCUUCCAGGUUGUUCAAUUUGUUGGCAUAUAGUUUUUCAUAGUAUUCUCUUAUGAUCUCUUGUAUUUCAUUGGUAUCUGUUGUGAUUUCUCCUCUGUCAUUCCUGAUUUUAUUAAUUUGCAAUUUCUCUCUUCUUUUCUUGGUGAGUCUGGCUAGGGGUUUGUCAAUUCUGUUAAUUCUUUCGAAGAACCAACUCUUUGUUUCAUUGAUCCUUUCUAUUGUCUUUUUUGUUUCAAUAUCGUUUAUUUCUGCUCUUAUUUUUAUUAUUUCCCUCCUUCUACUGACUCUGGGCUUUGUUUGUUCUUCUUUUUCUAGUUCUUUUAGGUGUCGUUUGAGGUUGCUUACGUGAGCUUUUUCUUGUUUAGUGAGGUGAGCCUGUAUUGCGAUGAAUUUCCCUCUUAGGACUGCUUUUGCUGCAUCCCAAAUGAUUUGGUAUGUCGUGUUCUCAUUUUCAUUUGUCUCCAGAUAAUAUUUGAUUUCUUCUUUAAUUUCUUCAAUGAUCCAUUGUUUGUUGAGAAGCGUGUUGUUUAGUCUCCACAUUUUUGCACCUUUCUCUGCUUUUUUCUUGUAGUUGAUUUCUAGUUUAAUAGCGUUAUGAUCAGAAAAGAUGCUUGAUAUUAUUUCAACUCUCUUGUAUUUAUUGAUGUUUGCUUUGGUUCCCAAAAUAUGGUCAAUCCUUGAGAAUGUUCCAUGUGCACUUGAGAAGAAUGUGUAACCUGCUGUUUUUGGAUGAAGUGUUCUAUAUAUAUCUAUUAAGUCCAUCUGGUCUAAUUUUUCAUUUAAUUCUAUUAUUUCCUUGUUGAUUUUCUGUCUGGAUGUUCUGUCCAUUGGUGUUAAUGGUGUGUUGAGGUCCCCUAUUAUUAUUGUGUUAUUUUUGAUAUCUUCUUUUAGGUUUGUUAAUAGUUGCUUUAUGAACUUUGAUGCUCCUGUGUUAG